Molecule: ribosomal RNA, 116 nt
Filed under: Pteropus alecto (black flying fox)
Lineage: Eukaryota; Metazoa; Chordata; Mammalia; Chiroptera; Pteropodidae
Source: RNAcentral
GUCUACAGCCAUGCCACUCUGAACAAGCCUGAUGUCUGAUCUUGGAAGCUAAGCAGGGUUGGGCCUCAUUAGUACUUGGAUGGGAGACCACCUAGUGAGACCAGGUACUGUAGGCA